GAGAUCUCUUCAUAUUUUAUCAGCAAAAACGCCAUAGAAGGUCUGAAGAAAGCUGGGUUUUCAUAUUUUUACACCAUAUCGAGAACCUGAAACAAGUCGAGGAAAAGAAAAAGUAGCUGAUUAGUCCCUGAACUUUUACGAAUUCAGCAAAUUGACCCAGAUUGAUAUAUAUAUAUAUAUAUACGUUCGGAGGAUCGGAUCUACAUCAACGAUCACACUAUCCAGAUUUACUCCGGUAGAUUUUGUUAAACAACUUUUUGGAUUUAUAUGGCAUGUAUAGGGAAUUGAAAUAAAAAGUAUUAGUAUGAAUGACUAAGUAUGCAAAAUAAAUUUGAAUGUUAUGGUUGUGUUAGAUAUCGAAAUAUAUACAUGUUUUUAAUUUGAAAUGGUUGAUUGGUUGAA
Long non-coding RNA from Gossypium raimondii (Peruvian cotton), 402 nucleotides. RefSeq lists it as uncharacterized. Lineage: Eukaryota; Viridiplantae; Streptophyta; Magnoliopsida; Malvales; Malvaceae. The record is from RefSeq and is a predicted model, not a curated record. The transcript has 3 exons.